This 460-nucleotide ribosomal RNA is filed under the name uncultured bacterium. Its description in RNAcentral is "partial 16S ribosomal RNA". It matches the Rfam family "Bacterial small subunit ribosomal RNA", at positions 338 to 795 of the family's 1533-position model. The record is from RNAcentral.
CCUACGGGGUGCUGCAGUGAGGAAUAUUGGUCAAUGGUCGGAAGCCUGAACCAGCCAAGUAGCGUGCAGGAUGACGGCUCUACGGUUUGUAAACUUCUUUUAUACGGGAAUAACGCGCCUUACGUGUAGGGCUUUGCAUGUACCGUAUGAAUAAGGACCGGCUAAUUCCGUGCCAGCAGCCGCGGUAAUACGGAAGGUCCGGGCGUUAUCCGGAUUUAUUGGGUUUAAAGGGAGCGUAGGCGGGAUGUUAAGCUUGCUGUGAAAGGUCCGGGCUCAACCCGGGCCUUGGCGUGGAAACUGGCGUGCUUGAGUGCGCGGGAGGUAGGCGGAAUGCGUGGUGUAGCGGUGAAAUGCUUAGAUAUGACGAAGAACUCCGAUUGCGAAGGCAGCUUGCUGGAGCGUAACUGACGCUGAUGCUCGAAAGCGUGGGUAUCGAACAGGAUUAGAUACCCGGGUAGUC